Molecule: small nuclear RNA, 190 nt
Filed under: Camelus bactrianus (Bactrian camel)
Lineage: Eukaryota; Metazoa; Chordata; Mammalia; Artiodactyla; Camelidae
Also listed under: 1 other name
Description: U2 spliceosomal RNA
Rfam family: U2 spliceosomal RNA
About the family: U2 is a small nuclear RNA (snRNA) component of the spliceosome (involved in pre-mRNA splicing). Complementary binding between U2 snRNA (in an area lying towards the 5' end but 3' to hairpin I) and the branchpoint sequence (BPS) of the intron results the bulging out of an unpaired adenosine, on the BPS, which initiates a nucleophilic attack at the intronic 5' splice site, thus starting the first of two transesterification reactions that mediate splicing.
Source: Rfam by way of RNAcentral
AUCAUUUCUCGGCCUUUUGGCUAAGAUCCAAUGUAGUAUCUGUUCUUAUCAGUUAGUAUCUGAUACAUCCUCCAUCUGAGGACAGUAUAUUAAAUGGAUUUUUGGAGCAGGGAAUUGGAAUAGGAGCUUGCUCGGCCCACUCCAUGCAUUGACCUGGAAUUGCAGUAUCUCCCGGAGCAGUGUAUCACCU